CAGUCGCUGCGGUAAUACAGAGGGUGCGAGCGUUAAUCGGAUUUACUGGGCGUAAAGCGUGCGUAGGCGGCUUCUUAAGUCGGAUGUGAAAUCCCUGAGCUUAACUUAGGAAUUGCAUUCGAUACUGGGAAGCUAGAGUAUGGGAGAGGAUGGUAGAAUUCCAGGUGUAGCGGUGAAAUGCGUAGAGAUCUGGAGGAAUACCGAUGGCGAAGGCAGCCAUCUGGCCUAAUACUGACGCUGAGGUACGAAAGCAUGGGGAGCAAACAGGAUUAGAUACCCCCGUAGUCCCUGUCUCUUAUAC
Molecule: ribosomal RNA, 301 nt
Filed under: uncultured bacterium
Lineage: Bacteria
Description: partial 16S ribosomal RNA
Rfam family: Bacterial small subunit ribosomal RNA
Source: RNAcentral